GUCUCAAGAGUGAACACGUAAUUCAUUACGAAGUUUAAUUCAUUGAGCAUCAAACUUUUAAAUUGAAGAGUUUGAUCAUGGCUCAGAUUGAACGCUGGCGGCAGGCCUAACACAUGCAAGUCGAACGGUAACAGGAAGCAGCUUGCUGCUUUGCUGACGAGUGGCGGACGGGUGAGUAAUGUCUGGGAAACUGCCUGAUGGAGGGGGAUAACUACUGGAAACGGUGGCUAAUACCGCAUAACGUCGCAAGACCAAAGAGGGGGACCUUCGGGCCUCUUGCCAUCAGAUGUGCCCAGAUGGGAUUAGCUUGUUGGUGAGGUAACGGCUCACCAAGGCGACGAUCCCUAGCUGGUCUGAGAGGAUGACCAGCCACACUGGAACUGAGACACGGUCCAGACUCCUACGGGAGGCAGCAGUGGGGAAUAUUGCACAAUGGGCGCAAGCCUGAUGCAGCCAUGCCGCGUGUAUGAAGAAGGCCUUCGGGUUGUAAAGUACUUUCAGCGGGGAGGAAGGUGUUGUGGUUAAUAACCGCAGCAAUUGACGUUACCCGCAGAAGAAGCACCGGCUAACUCCGUGCCAGCAGCCGCGGUAAUACGGAGGGUGCAAGCGUUAAUCGGAAUUACUGGGCGUAAAGCGCACGCAGGCGGUCUGUCAAGUCGGAUGUGAAAUCCCCGGGCUCAACCUGGGAACUGCAUUCGAAACUGGCAGGCUUGAGUCUUGUAGA
Molecule: ribosomal RNA, 724 nt
Filed under: Salmonella enterica subsp. enterica serovar Paratyphi A
Lineage: Bacteria; Pseudomonadati; Pseudomonadota; Gammaproteobacteria; Enterobacterales; Enterobacteriaceae
Description: bacterial SSU rRNA
Rfam family: Bacterial small subunit ribosomal RNA
Source: RNAcentral